CCCUCAGUAGCUCAGUUGGGAGAGCAUUAAACUGAAGAUCUAAAGGUCCUUGGUUCAACCCUGGGCUUCGGCA
RNAcentral lists this transfer RNA (73 nucleotides) under Chelonia mydas (Green sea turtle). It matches the Rfam family "tRNA". From Rfam's summary of the family: Transfer RNA (tRNA) molecules are approximately 80 nucleotides in length. Their secondary structure includes four short double-helical elements and three loops (D, anti-codon, and T loops). Further hydrogen bonds mediate the characteristic L-shaped molecular structure. tRNAs have two regions of fundamental functional importance: the anti-codon, which is responsible for specific mRNA codon recognition, and the 3' end, to which the tRNAs corresponding amino acid is attached (by aminoacyl-tRNA synthetases). tRNAs cope with the degeneracy of the genetic code in two manners: having more than one tRNA (with a specific anti-codon) for a particular amino acid; and 'wobble' base-pairing, i.e. permitting non-standard base-pairing at the 3rd anti-codon position. The record is from Rfam by way of RNAcentral. Lineage: Eukaryota; Metazoa; Chordata; Testudines; Cheloniidae.